GCCCUCAAACGCCGUUACCUAGGUGCUUCGUCCUCCCCUCCACCCCCGUCAAGAGCUCUCCCAAGUCCCAAGUGCCGGCACACACCGCCACCUCGCCGCGCUCUACAGGGUUGCCGUGCCUCCGCCCCGGUAUGGUCGACCGCGCCACGGCGAGCAACUCAACUAGAAAAUACUUUGCCACAACGGUGAUGAAUUUCCACCCAGUGGUUGCUGGCUAUCAAUACGCACGACCUCCUUGCGCACAUCGCCAGCUUUGAUUACCGGCCCGGGAUGAUAGACGAGCUCGACGCGCAGAUGGGGUUCGUCGUGGGCGGAACCAUUCUCAUGCUACUCACUGUCGUCUUCUAUGAGAUUCAGGUGAAGAGUAGGUAGCCCAGGAGGAGGACUACUACGAGGAGUACGUGGAAGUCUAGGUGGCGUCUCCCAGUCAGCUUGUUGGCGUCAAAAUAAUAUUAGUUCGCUUUAUUGUUAUCAUUUUUUUGUAAGACACUUCUGCUAUGUAAUAAUAUCUGUGACAUUUAUCUCUAUACACUUGGUC
Long non-coding RNA from Zea mays, 538 nucleotides. RefSeq lists it as uncharacterized. The record is from RefSeq and is a predicted model, not a curated record. The transcript has 3 exons. Lineage: Eukaryota; Viridiplantae; Streptophyta; Magnoliopsida; Poales; Poaceae.